ACGUACAUAGAUAGAAUCUCCUUAUUAAGAAUUAAUGGAUAGAAACUCAACUUAUCCCAAUGUUAGCUAGAAAAAACAAGAACCUGUUUUUAUUAUGAACCAUAACAUAAUUAACACUCUAAAUCAGUCUUCCGUCUUAGUAGAUACUAGCGAGUUUUCGAACCUUGGUUAUGAUGGAGUCGAAAGAAUAAGAUAGGAAGACAAUUUUUCUUUUGGGAUGAACAUAGGAAGGUAUUUAUACAUGACCAAUAUAAUAUCGACAAGAUAUCGAUCACAAACUUGCAUAAUAUUUCAGUGAUAGGAUGGGACUUAUCCGAUGGAAAGAGGCUGCAGAAAACCCCAAAGCCAAAGGAAUAUAUUGUACACAGCCAGCCUGUGAUCUCAAAGCUGACUCCCUAUAUUGCAGAGAUGAGGCAAUCACACUGAACCUGUACCACAUAGCUAGCUAUCCAGCUCGAUCUGUAUCGAAAAGAAAUAGCAUGCAGUUGAUAUGUUUGUUGAGAUAAUAGACCUCAGCAAGCUUAAUAUUGAAGGUGAAGGAAAAUGCAGCACUGCCAUUUCAACCGAUUGUGACAAAGCUGACUCAUCAGAGAAUGAAGACAAGAAUGCAGGAGCUUUGGUGAUAGGCAUGUGACCAUUCACACCUCUCAUGCAGCUAUACACAGCACAGCAGCCUUAGUCCUUAUCCUCAACCUUCAAUUUGAAUUUUUUUGUCUCUAUUUGAGCAGUGAUCUUGACCGUGCACGUAUUCAUCUCUCAUUACAGCUGAAGAUAUUUUUACUAUUUGUCUUGCUGUAUAUAAGUGUGCACAGUGUCCAUUGUCAAUGAUGUGUGACAAUUCCUUCUGUAAAAAUUCCUUUUCAAUUACAUAUUAAUACUAGCUGUUAUUCUCAAUUUCUUCAAAUUAUUUCUUUGUUUCUCUUCAGUGCUAUCAUCUUGUUCUCAACUACGUUUCUCUCUUGGUGUAAGUUUCUACUUAUUCAUCAAGACUUUUACACUCAAAUACAGAUUGUUACUGUGAUGAAGAAUUUCAGCAUGGUAUCAGAGCUGAAGGCAGCCUGACCAUUGCUCAUCACAAAGUCUUCCGCUGACAAUUUUUUCAAACAGUCUUUUUCACAAACAAAUUGUUCUUAAGUUGCUUUCAAGCUUCUUUCAAUAUCUGUGAACAACUCUUUUUUUAUCUACAGCUUGUAUUAAAUUACUCAUCUGCUCAGAUCUCACUUUUUACACAACUUCAUUCUCACCUGUCUUUUUCUUGUUACAGUCCUUCUCCCACAGUUUCUAUUGAGGGUUACAAGUAUUACGUUACUAUCAUUGAUGAAUGUACUAGAUACACAUGGAUUUUUCCAUUGAGAAAUAAAAAAGAAGUACUACCUUUGUUUCAAGCUUUCUGUGCUUUUAUCUUGAAUCACUUUUCAGCUUCAGUUAAAAUUUUUCAAUCAGAUGGGGGAGGGGAAUUUAAUAGCCACUGCUUUCAUGAUUUUUUAUCAAAAAAUGGGAUUGUUCAUCAAAUUUCAUGUCCUUAUACACCACAACAGAAUGGCUUAGCUGAAAGAAAAAAUCGACACAUUGUUGAAACAGCCAUAACCUUGCUUCAUGAUUCUCACCUUCCUCUAAUGUUUUGGUAUCAUGCCUGUGCUGCAGCUGUUUAUCUGAUAAACAGGAUGCCUUGCAAUAAUUUGUCCAUGCAAUCUCCUUUUGAAGCUCUCUUUCAUAAAAUUUCUGUGAUUGAUCAUAUUAGAAUUUUUGGUUGUACUUGUUACCCACUGCUAAAACCAUAUAACUCCAAUAAAUUGCAACCAAAGUCUGCUCCUUGUGUUUUUCUUGGGUAUGCCUUAGGGUACAAAGGGUUUAUUUGCUUUAAUCCUGUGUCUAAGAAAACAAUAAAAACCAGGAAUGUUAUCUUUGAUGAGAGCAGCUUUUAUUAUAAGAAGGGUGAAAGUCAUAACAGUGUUGAUCAGGUUUUUCAGUUCUUCUCCACUCCAUGUCCUUUGGCUUCUACUGCAGGAAAUAAUUCACACACACCAUCAUCAAUGCCUGACCUUGUUCAGCUUGAUUCACCACCUGAAACACUGAGUUCUUCAUCAACAGCAACUGAGUUCACAGCUUCAACUCCAGUUGAUUCUUCAGUACAGCCUGUCUUUCCUGGUACAACUAACUCUUCACAUGAUCAUGCUUCUACAGAAACUAAUGUUGUAACCUCAGAUGAGCAGCCUGGUAAUGUGGAUCUAAAUGUGCUUCAGUAUAACAUUGAUCAGCCUCUAAUUAUAGACAACAGUUCUACAUGUGCUCCAAGAACUGAGAAUCUUGUGAGCUACACUGAUGAGCCCUACAUCCCAAUUUCAGAUGUUCACAUUGAUAUUCAAGGUCCUUCUGCUCAAUCCUAUGACAAACUCACUGAUUUUGUUCCUCUUUCCAAUUUGAACACAAAUGAUCACCCAAUGAUGACAAGGAGCAAGCAUGGUAUUUACAAGAAAAGGAUUUUUUAUGCUGCUAAUGCUGCUAUACAGGUUUCUCCAGACAAAGAGCCACACUCUUAUAAACAAGCCCUUCAAGUCCCAGAGUGGAAGCAGGCAAUGCAAGAAGAAUUUGAUGCUCUAAAGAAUCAGGGUACUUGGUACCUGGUUCCUCCACAAAUCUGUAAGAAUGUUGUGAGUUGCAAGUGGAUUUUUAAACUAAAGAAAAAUGUUGAUGGAACAAUUUCAAGACACAAGGCUAGGUUAGUUGCAAGAGGGUUCAGUCAGGAAGAAGGUGUUGAUUAUGAAGAAACUUUCAGCCCGAUUGUCAGGCAUACUACUGUGAGGUUGUUCUUGGCUCUUGCAGCUCAAUACAAUUGGAAGUUGCAUCAGAUGGAUGUAAAAAAUGCCUUUCUACAUGGUGUUUUAAAGGAAGAAGUAUAUAUGACUCAACCACAGGGUUUUGAAGAUCAGAGAAAUCCUCAUUUUGUCUGCAGACUUGUGAAAUCUCUAUAUGGCCUAAAACAGGCACCAAGAGCUUGGAAUGAAAGGUUUACAUCUUUUCUCCCAUCAUUGGGUUUUAAAAGCUCACAUUCUGAUCCCUCACUGUUUGUUAAAGGUAGUGAUACCUUCAUGGUGUAUCUGCUUCUUUAUGUGGAUGACAUCAUAAUUACAGGAAAUGAUGAGAAUGAAAUUGGAGCAGUCAAGCUUGCUUUACAGUUGGAAUUUGAAAUGAAGGACUUAGGGCCACUUCAUUACUUUCUUGGUUUGCAGAUUGAAUAUCUACCUAAUGGAGGAAUUUUUAUUUCUCAAUCAAGGUAUGCUUCUGAGGUGUUAAUUAAGGCUGGUAUGUCAGGAAAGAAAAGUUGCUCUACUCCAUGCCUUCCUUAUGCAAAAUUGAUAAUGGAUGAUGGACCAAAGUUUGCAGAUGUGACACAUUAUAGAAGUGUAGUUGGAUGUCUACAAUAUUUAACCUUUACCAGACCUGAUCUAGCCUACAGUGUGAACACUGUGUGUCAGUUCAUGCCUGCUCCAUCUGAAGCACAUUAUGCUGCAGUAAAAAGAAUUCUUAGAUAUCUGAUUGGGACUGUUAAUUAUGGCCUGACUUACAAGCCUGCUCCCUCUCCUCUUGAACUCAGAGCCUUUUCAGAUGCUGAUUGGGCAGGUGAUCCAAAUGAUAGGAGGUCAACAACUGGUUUUGUGAUUUACUUGGGGAACUGUCCAAUUUCUUGGUGUUCAAAGAAACAACAUUCUAUGUCACGUUCUUCUACUGAGGUAGAGUAUAGGGCUAUGGCAGACACUGCAAGUGAAGUCUUUUGGCUCAGACACUUAUUGCAGGAUAUCUCAGUGUAUUUACCACUUGCACCAUUAUUGCAUUGUGACAAUGUCUCAGCUAUUUCACUUGCCACAAACCCAGUUCACAAGACUAAAUGCAAACAUGUGGAGGUAGACAUUCACUUCACAAGAGAAAAGGUAGCUAGAGGUGAGCUGGAUCUUAUUUUUGUGCCCUCUCUGGAACAAUUUGCUGAUUUGUUUACCAAGGGAUUGAGUACUGCUCAGUUCCAGUAUUUAUGCUGCAAUCUAGUACUUGGUAAUCCUAGCACUAGCUUGAGGGGGGCUGUUGAGAUAAUAGACCUCAGCAAGCUUAAUAUUGAAGGUGAAGGAAAAUGCAGCACUGCCAUUUCAACCGAUUGUGACAAAGCUGACUCAUCAGAGAAUGAAGACAAGAAUGCAGGAGCUUUGGUGAUAGGCAUGUGACCAUUCACACCUCUCAUGCAGCUAUACACAGCACAACAGCCUUAGUCCUUAUCCUCAAUCUUCAAUUUGAAUUUUCUUGUCUCUAUUUGAGCAGUGAUCUUGACCGUGCACGUAUUCAUCUCUCAUUACAGCUGAAGAUAUUUUUACUAUUUGUCUUGCUGUAUAUAAGUGUGCAAAGUGUCCAUUGUCAAUGAUGUGUGACAAUUCCUUAUGUAAAAAUUCCUUUUCAAUUACAUAUUAAUACAAGCUGUUAUUCUCAAUUUCUUCAAAUUAUUUCUUUGUUUCUCUUCAGUGCUAUCAUCUUGUUCUCAACUACGUUUCUCUCUUGGUGUAAGUUUCUACUUAUUCAUCAAGACUUUUACACUCAAAUACAGAUUGUUACUGUGAUGAAGAAUUUCAGCAAUGUUUUCCUGUUUCUGUUUCUUUCCUUAUGUUUUGGAAUCAUCUUAAUCAAGAUUCUAAUUGAGGGCACAAUUCUCUACACUUACACGACUAGAUUAACAAAUGAAGUUGUGUCAUUUAGUACUUGAGCUUCACGUUUAUUAGCUAGCUUGUCAAAAAGAGCAAGCAGACAAGACAGCAGACAAUUUUCAACAAAUCUUGCCCAGAUUUUGUAAUCAAAGGUUUCUGAAUGCUAUAUAUUACUCUAAAUUUUUCUAAGUGGGGAAUUUUUGUUUUUCAUCGUGACUUUUAUGUCUCGUCUUAUAAUUAAGUUAAUUAAACACUGUUCAUCAUUACUUUAC
This 4957-nucleotide long non-coding RNA is filed under the name Fragaria vesca (wild strawberry). RNAcentral's name for it is "long non-coding RNA (FVES_LNC000363)". The record is from RNAcentral. Lineage: Eukaryota; Viridiplantae; Streptophyta; Magnoliopsida; Rosales; Rosaceae.